GACGAACGCUGGCGGCGUGCUUAACACAUGCAAGUCGAACGGUGAAGCGCCUUCCUUUUUGGUGGGUGUGGAUGAGUGGCGAACGGGUGAGUAACACGUGAGUAACCUGCCCCCUUCUUCUGGAUAACCGCAUGAAGGUGUGGCUAAUACGGGAUAUUCUGGGUCUGUCGCAUGAUGGGUCUGGGAAAGAUAUUGUUUCGGUGGGGGAUGGGCUCGCGGCCUAUCAGCUUGUUGGUGGGGUGAUGGCCUACCAAGGCGGUGACGGGUAGCCGGCCUGAGAGGGUGGACGGUCACACUGGGACUGAGACACGGCCCAGACUCCUACGGGAGGCAGCAGUGGGGAAUAUUGCACAAUGGGCGCAAGCCUGAUGCAGCGACGCCGCGUGAGGGAUGGAGGCCUUCGGGUUGUGAACCUCUUUCGCCAGUGAAGCAGGCCUGCCUCGUUUGUGGGUGGGUCGACGGUAGCUGGAUAAGAAGCGCCGGCUAACUACGUG
This 494-nucleotide ribosomal RNA is filed under the name uncultured bacterium. RNAcentral describes it as "partial 16S ribosomal RNA". It matches the Rfam family "Bacterial small subunit ribosomal RNA", at positions 28 to 507 of the family's 1533-position model. The record is from RNAcentral.